This 466-nucleotide ribosomal RNA is filed under the name uncultured bacterium. RNAcentral describes it as "partial 16S ribosomal RNA". It matches the Rfam family "Bacterial small subunit ribosomal RNA", at positions 28 to 507 of the family's 1533-position model. The record is from RNAcentral.
GACGAACGCUGGCGGCGCGCCUAACACAUGCAAGUCGAACGAGCGAGAGAGAGCUUGCUUUCUCGAGCGAGUGGCGGACGGGUGCGUAACGCGUGAGGAACCUGCCUCAAAGAGGGGGGCAACAGUUGGAAACGACUGCUAAUACCGCAUAAGCUAACGGCUCGGCAUCGAGGCGGGGGAAAAGGAGCAAUCCGCGUUGAGAUGGACGCGAGUCCGAUUAGCUAGUUUGUGGGGUAACGGCCCACCCAAGCGACGAUCGGUAGCCGGACUGAGAGGUUGAACGGCCACAUUGGGACUGAGACACGGUCCAGACUCCUACGGGAUGCAGCAGUGGGGAAUAUUGCACAAUGGGGGAAACCCUGAUGCAGCGACGCCGCGUGGAGGAAGAAGUUCUGCGGAUUGUAAACUCCUGUUGUUGGGGAAGAUAAUGACGGUACCCAACAAGGAAGUGACGGCUAACUACGUG